Molecule: ribosomal RNA, 2767 nt
Filed under: Triticum aestivum (bread wheat)
Lineage: Eukaryota; Viridiplantae; Streptophyta; Magnoliopsida; Poales; Poaceae
Description: partial small subunit ribosomal RNA
Source: RNAcentral
GCUUGAGGUACCGUGCCGUGGCGGUACCGAGGCGAAGGAGAGGGGGAAGGGCGGUGAGGGAUGGGUGGGUUUGGGGUGCUCAGGGGCGCCCGGCGGGGAGAGGUACGGCGCGAGCGGAGGGAGAGGGUCGUUCCGUCGCUGGUGCCGUCGGAGGCGCUGCGGAAGCGGGAGCAGAGGGCGCGGCUCGCGGUCAGCUCGGGGCAGCCGGGCCUCCACAUGCACAGGGAGGACGUCACGACGCAGCGGCGCCCCAGGGAGGCGCGCCCUGCGGUCCACGUGCGACGGCGGCAGUUCGCGCCCGGGAUGAUGACGGCGGUGCGGAUGUAGCCGUGGUUCGAGCGCCAGAAGAUGCGGGCUACGCCGCGCGACCGCCUGCGGCUCGCGCACAAGCUGCGCGAUGGGUUUUUCUUGCGGAAGCGGACCCGGAGGCAGUAGCCUAAUACCUCGGCGCGGCCCAACGUGCGGUCCCGGGAGCUGCCCAUGUAGCUGUACGACGUCCGCCCGCAGGGGCGCCUGUUGAAGCAGCACGGGUUGCACGACUUCCGUACGCGGCCCUAGCCCUACCAGCCCUGGCCCUCCCGCGACGUGCCCAUGCGGACCUUCCGCCCCAAGUCCCUUACGCAUAUGCACAACUCGUCGGACCACCUGAAGAUGCCCUUCACGCCGCUCCACCUACUACGCUCCCUCCACAAACUACGUUACGGCCUCUGGUGGCACCACUGGACCUUGAGGUACAACUACCCCAUAUAUUUGCUACCCUCUUAGCUACUACGACACCUUAACAAGAUAGUCUACUCCCAACUUCCGCACGACGGCUGCUCCCGCUCGUAAGAAUCGGAAGACAGACGUAGCCGGCUAAAACUUAGAGGACUAACCCCAUCCGUCCCGGUACGGCACCGGCAUAGCUCACCGAACCGCUACCUACAGUAAAACCCCUCGAGUUAGUAGUUGAAAAUGACAUUCCAACCCGACCAGCUCCGACGCCUCCGGCACAAACUCGUCUACCAACUUUCUCUGCGGCAAUGUACCUUAAACUACUAACGACCCAUAAACGUCCUACCCGUCUGGCUGUUCCGAAACUAGUGAACAGCUUUUUACGAGGUAAGACCGGAGUCCAAACUAACACACUGCAACCGCAGGUAAUAGUACCGAACGUACUGUAGGACACCAUACCUCUACCCGUCUCAACGAGUGCCGAUACGUCAAUCUUUGUUGGAACUUAGUCUGGUUCGCCAACGAACACCGGACUAUCUCAAUAUAUACUCAUCACUUUCCUGACUUGUACGUGCGGCCGACAAGCUACAGUACUCAACGUCUCUGUACCAGUACACGUCUCACUACUAAAGACGAAUACGUCUAGCACCCUACUCAAGAGUCCGAGAAUUCCAAAAUAUAGUCUACGUCGUACUCCCGUAUAGAGGUUCACGUCGCACGACCCUAAGCCAGUAAAGUCGAAAAUACUUCUUACUCGUCUAAUUACUCCGGGAUCUCUAGAAGUUACUCUACGAUGAUUGUUUUUGUGCGGGUUUAGAUGCGUGUACCUCGGACAAUUAUUGACCGAACAGAGCUUUACCAUACGUGACGCUCCAUUACUUAGAUACGACGUUCUACGUUCUUCAUCUCGGUCGUGGUUCAGGUUGUUAAAAGAGGCGUCGUGAACAACGGUACUUCCGACGUCGGAGUCAUGUUAUACCUUUCCGUUACGUACGCACGUAACAUUUCUUCCCGGAUAACAACAGGUUUAGGCACUAUGUCAGGGACGAUUUGUACAUACCGUCAAAGUCACUGUGUCCGUGCCAUCUUUCAAAUGAUCCGAACGAACGACGACGUGUCAUUUAUUGCGUCGACGUGUAUCAAUGUAAUGUAUCGCAAACGUGUAUAUAGUUGAACGAGUAUAAGUAGUAGUCUACCGAUAAGAACCUAGUCUUCCAAGGUUAGUCUUUUACUCGCUCAUGUAUCACGAUGACAACCGUUUUUCACAUGUCAAACCCAAAGACAUUGGUCCCUAACGUGCGGCUCUCUGUACAAUGUAGAGACCACAGAGGGUCAAACGAGAAAAAACACAUAAUCUUACAAACUCAGAGACCGGGAAAACCCCUAAACACUCUUCUGUGUUGUACCAGAUCUAAACGACCCGCCUAAUGAAUAUGACUUCCUAUUGACGUUUGACAUUAUAAGAAAGUAACGUUUAUGUACGCAGGGAUCUUAACGUUUUUAAUGAAAAGGACUUUACUAUUUUAUUUAAGACGAAACAUGCAAAUGAACGUGACUUCCUUGAGACUAUUUGUAGUAAAUAGAUGUAGCUAGUGACAGACAUUAGCCGGCUACGAAAACAAACGUCUUAGAUUUCUUCUGCCCCUGUUUGUUUACUAGUCAAAUAGGAACCGUUGAAUGGACUAGCUGCGGUGUACUAAUCCGACGGUUGAGAGUAGGUAGCUGUUCCGUACUACGAGGAUGUGUUAGGUUCCGCGCUGUUACCGCCUUUCCGCCCCCGCUGCGCUAGGCCGAAAUCGUUCCGUCGGUGCACCCUUCACCCGUGCGAGCGAAGUACCGUGUUGCUUACUACCUUCCUCCCCUCGGUGGUACACAGAAGUGGUUUUAAAGGUAGCUGGCGGAAAGAGAAGUUAAGGGCUGGAUAGAACCUCGCUAGCUAAUCAGAGACGAAACUACGCUAAGACAAGACAAGACGACGGCCCCUCUCGCAACCGAAAAAGAAAAGAAAAAAGAAAAAUCUUUUGCAACCGACCAAAAAAAUAAUCGUGUGACG